This 765-nucleotide ribosomal RNA is filed under the name uncultured bacterium. RNAcentral describes it as "bacterial SSU rRNA". It matches the Rfam family "Bacterial small subunit ribosomal RNA", at positions 83 to 849 of the family's 1533-position model. The record is from RNAcentral.
ACUGGGUGGCGACCGGCAAACGGGUGCGGAACACGUACGCAACCUUCCUUCAAGCGGGGAAUAGCCCAGAGAAAUUUGGAUUAAUACCCCAUAGGAAUGUAGUCUCGCAUGAGACAGCAUUUAAAGAUUUAUCACUUGAAGAUGGGCGUGCGUCUGAUUAGGUAGUUGGUGAGGUAACGGCUCACCAAGCCGACGAUCAGUAACUGGCGUGAGAGCGCGACCAGUCACACGGGCACUGAGACACGGGCCCGACUCCUACGGGAGGCAGCAGUAAGGAAUAUUGGUCAAUGGACGCAAGUCUGAACCAGCCAUGCCGCGUGGAGGAUGAAUGCCCUCUGGGUUGUAAACUUCUUUUAUCUGGGACGAAACACUUCUUAUCUAAGGAGCUUGACGGUACCAGAUGAAUAAGCACCGGCUAACUCCGUGCCAGCAGCCGCGGUAAUACGGAGGGUGCAAGCGUUAUCCGGAUUCACUGGGUUUAAAGGGUGCGUAGGCGGAUGUGUAAGUCUGUGGUGAAAUCUCUGAGCUUAACUCAGAAACUGCCGUGGAUACUAUAUGUCUUGAAUGUUGUGGAGGUUAGCGGAAUAUGUCAUGUAGCGGUGAAAUGCUUAGAUAUGACAUAGAACACCGAUUGCGAAGGCAGCUGGCUACACAACUAUUGACGCUGAGGCACGAAAGCGUGGGGAUCAAACAGGAUUAGAUACCCUGGUAGUCCACGCCCUAAACGAUGGAUACUCGACAUUUGCGAUAUAUUGUAAGUGUCUG